This 315-nucleotide ribosomal RNA is filed under the name uncultured bacterium. Its description in RNAcentral is "bacterial SSU rRNA". It matches the Rfam family "Bacterial small subunit ribosomal RNA", at positions 28 to 334 of the family's 1533-position model. The record is from RNAcentral.
GAUGAACGCUAGCUACAGGCUUAACACAUGCAAGUCGAGGGGCAGCAUGGUCUUAGCUUGCUAAGGCCGAUGGCGACCGGCGCACGGGUGAGUAACACGUAUCCAACCUGCCGUCUACUCUUGGACAGCCUUCUGAAAGGAAGAUUAAUACAAGAUGGCAUCAUGAGUUCACAUGUUCACAUGAUUAAAGGUAUUCCGGUAGACGAUGGGGAUGCGUUCCAUUAGAUAGUAGGCGGGGUAACGGCCCACCUAGGCGACGAUGCAUAGCCGAGUUGAGAGACUGAUCGGCCACAUUGGGACUGAGACACGGCCCAA